GUUGUACAUCACACCUGACUUCCUUAAGAUUUCUGAGGAAAUGGUAAUUGUUGCCAUCACUAGACAGAAGAAAGGAAUCUUUGUUGUGGUGGAUGAACAAUUUGAUCAUGACUUCUCAACCCCUUUUGCUUUAAAAAAAAAAAAUCAUGGUGUAAUCUUGGGUGACUUUGAAUUCAUAAAUGCUUUUAUUGAAAAGAAAAUUUCAAAUCUAAGGGUUGUUGAUGAGCAGAAGUUUGGAGGUGACUUUGAGCUUAAGAUGGAAGGUGAUCCCUUUCUUAAAUCUGAAAUGUUUAUGUUACCCAUUGAGAAAGACACUGAACCAGAACUUCAGAAUGUUGAAAUCAAGAAAGCAAAUCUCAAGACACAUAUUCCCCUGGUUGCGGGUGACCUCUUAAGGAUGCAGAAGUCUGAAAAAAUGAAAGCCAGGGAGGAUAGGGAAUUCAUUGGUUUAUGUAGCGAGCCUAGUGCUCAGUUCGCUGAGUCA
This 484-nucleotide unclassified non-coding RNA is filed under the name Hevea brasiliensis (rubber tree). The record is from RNAcentral. Lineage: Eukaryota; Viridiplantae; Streptophyta; Magnoliopsida; Malpighiales; Euphorbiaceae.